UGGGCGUAAGCGCGCGCAGGUGGUUUCUUAAGUCUGAUGUGAAAGCCCACGGCUCAACCGUGGAGGGUCAUUGGAAACUGGGAGACUUGAGUGCCUAAGAGGAAAGUGGAAUUCCAUGUGUAGCGGUGAAAUGCGUAGAGAUAUGGAGGAACACCAGUGGCGAAGGCGACUUUCUGGUCUGUAACUGACACUGAGGCGCGAAAGCGUGGGGAGCAAACAGGAUUAGAUACCCUGGUAGUCCACGCCGUAGACGAUGAGUGCUAAGUGUUAGAGGGUUUCCGCC
Molecule: ribosomal RNA, 283 nt
Filed under: Bacillus mycoides
Lineage: Bacteria; Bacillati; Bacillota; Bacilli; Caryophanales; Bacillaceae
Description: partial 16S ribosomal RNA
Rfam family: Bacterial small subunit ribosomal RNA
Source: RNAcentral